Molecule: ribosomal RNA, 492 nt
Filed under: uncultured bacterium
Lineage: Bacteria
Description: partial 16S ribosomal RNA
Rfam family: Bacterial small subunit ribosomal RNA
Source: RNAcentral
AGUGAACGCUGGCGGUAGGCCUAACACAUGCAAGUCGAACGGCAGCACAGUAAGAGCUUGCUCUUACGGGUGGCGAGUGGCGGACGGGUGAGGAAUACAUCGGAAUCUACUUUUUCGUGGGGGAUAACGUAGGGAAACUUACGCUAAUACCGCAUACGACCUACGGGUGAAAGCGAGGGAUCUUCGGACCUUGCGCGAUUGAAUGAGCCGAUGUCGGAUUAGCUAGUUGGCGGGGUAAAGGCCCACCAAGGCGACGAUCCGUAGCUGGUCUGAGAGGAUGAUCAGCCACACUGGAACUGAGACACGGUCCAGACUCCUACGGGAGGCAGCAGUGGGGAAUAUUGGACAAUGGGCGCAAGCCUGAUCCAGCCAUACCGCGUGGGUGAAGAAGGCCUUCGGGUUGUAAAGCCCUUUUGUUGGGAAAGAAAAGCAGCAGGUUAAUACCCCGCUGUUCUGACGGUACCCAAAGAAUAAGCACCGGCUAACUUCGUG